Molecule: ribosomal RNA, 252 nt
Filed under: uncultured bacterium
Lineage: Bacteria
Description: partial 16S ribosomal RNA
Rfam family: Bacterial small subunit ribosomal RNA
Source: RNAcentral
ACGGAGGGUGUAAACGUUGCUCGGAAUUAUUGGGCGUAAAGCGCGCGUAGGCGGUCUGUUAAGUUGGAUGUGAAAGCCCGGGGCUCAACCCCGGAAGUGCACCCAAAACUGCCAGACUAGAAUCUCGGAGGGGGUCGGAGAAUUCCCGGUGUAGAGGUGAAAUUCGUAGAUAUCGGGAGGAAUACCAGUGGCGAAGGCGCCGACCUGGACGAUGAUUGACGCUGAGGUGCGAAAGCAUGGGGAGCAAACAGG